GGGCAUACCCAUAGACCUUGCCUGACUGUGCUCAUGGCCAGGCAGGGGGGGGGACAUUGUAUGUGAGAUUAAUUUGAAGUUCCUACCAGCUUUAGCCAGCUUAAUCAGUGGCCGGAUAAAUAGCAGGACUGUAACAUUC
This 139-nucleotide small nucleolar RNA is filed under the name Pongo abelii (Sumatran orangutan). Its description in RNAcentral is "Small nucleolar RNA SNORA58 (ENSPPYG00000022540.2)". It matches the Rfam family "Small nucleolar RNA SNORA58". From Rfam's summary of the family: ACA52 is a member of the H/ACA class of snoRNA that guide the sites of modification of uridines to pseudouridines. The record is from Rfam by way of RNAcentral. Lineage: Eukaryota; Metazoa; Chordata; Mammalia; Primates; Hominidae.